GGAGGAAAGCAGGGGAUCGCAAGACCUUGCGCUUUUAGAGCGGCCGAUGCCUGAUUAGCUUGUUGGUGAGGUAAAAGCUCACCAAGGCUUCGAUCAGUAGCUGGUCUGAGAGGACGACCAGCCACACUGGGACUGAGACACGGCCCAGACUCCUACGGGAGGCAGCAGUGGGGAAUUUUGGACAAUGGGGGCAACCCUGAUCCAGCCAUGCCGCGUAAGUGAAGAAGGCCUUCGGGUUGUAAAGCUCUUUCAGCCGGAACGGAACGGUCACGGCUAAUACCUGUGACUACUGACGGUACCGGAAGAAGAAGCACCGGCUAACUACGUGCCAGCAGCCGCGGUAAUACGUAGGGUGCGAGCGUUAAUCGGAAUUACUGGGCGUAAAGCGUGCGCAGGUGGUUUUGUAAGUCAGAUGUGAAAUCCCCGGGCUUAACCUGGGAACUGCGUUUGAAACUACAAGGCUA
This 464-nucleotide ribosomal RNA is filed under the name uncultured ammonia-oxidizing bacterium. Its description in RNAcentral is "bacterial SSU rRNA". It matches the Rfam family "Bacterial small subunit ribosomal RNA", at positions 198 to 643 of the family's 1533-position model. The record is from RNAcentral.